UGGGGAAUCUUCCGCAAUGGACGAAAGUCUGACGGAGCAACGCCGCGUGAGUGAAGACGGCCUUCGGGUUGUAAAGCUCUGUGAUCCGGGACGAAAGAGCCUGAGGUAAAUAGCCUAAGGAAGUGACGGUACCGGAAAAGCAAGCCACGGCUAACUACGUGCCAGCAGCCGCGGUAAUACGUAGGUGGCAAGCGUUGUCCGGAAUUAUUGGGCGUAAAGCGCGCGCAGGCGGCUUCCUAAGUCCAUCUUAAAAGUGCGGGGCUUAACCCCGGGAUGGGAUGGAAACUGGGAAGCUGGAGUAUCGGAGAGGAAAGUGGAAUUCCUAGUGUAGCGGUGAAAUGCGUAGAGAUUAGGAAGAACACCGGUGGCGAAGGCGACUUUCUGGACGAAAACUGACGCUGAGGCGCGAAAGCGUGGGGAGCAAACAGG
Molecule: ribosomal RNA, 429 nt
Filed under: Fusobacteriota bacterium
Lineage: Bacteria; Fusobacteriati; Fusobacteriota
Description: Fusobacteria bacterium partial 16S ribosomal RNA
Rfam family: Bacterial small subunit ribosomal RNA
Source: RNAcentral